GAUGAACGCUAGCGAUAGGCUUAACACAUGCAAGUCGAGGGGUAACGUGUUGGAAGCUUGCUUCCGAUGACGACGACCGGCGGAUGGGUGCGUAACGCGUAUGCAACUUGCCUCACAGAGGAGAAUAACCCGGAGAAAUCCGGACUAAUGCUCCAUACACUCUUUAGCACGCCUGUGCGUAAGAGGAAAGAUUUAUCGCUGUGAGAUAGGCAUGCGUCCUAUUAGGUAGUUGGUGAGGUAACGGCUCACCAAGCCAACGAUAGGUAGGGGUGCUGAGAGGCAGAUCCCCCACAUUGGGACUGAGACACGGCCCAAACUCCUACGGGAGGCAGCAGUGAGGAAUAUUGGUCAAUGGGCGAGAGCCUGAACCAGCCAAGUAGCGUGCAGGAUGACGGCCCUAUGGGUUGUAAACUGCUUUUAUGUGGGGAUAAAGUGCGUGACGUGUCAUGCAUUGCAGGUACCACAUGAAUAAGGACCGGCUAAUUCCGUGCCAGCCGCCGCGGUAAAAGGG
RNAcentral lists this ribosomal RNA (511 nucleotides) under uncultured Bacteroidales bacterium. Its description in RNAcentral is "bacterial SSU rRNA". It matches the Rfam family "Bacterial small subunit ribosomal RNA", at positions 28 to 528 of the family's 1533-position model. The record is from RNAcentral. Lineage: Bacteria; Pseudomonadati; Bacteroidota; Bacteroidia; Bacteroidales.